UAAUAUCUUAUGCAUUAUAGGCUCUAUUGAAAAUAAUAAGGAUGAUGUAAAUACACCAGAAUUUAAAAUUAAACACCUAGUCAUAGUUUUAACUAAAUUAAAAUUGCCAGUACAAACCACUUUGGAUAUACCCAAACGUAGGAGGGAAGAAAAUGAUCUUGAUACACUCAUUUAUAUACCCAAAGACCAUAUAAAAUCACUACCUAGUACAAAUUUAGAUAUAUCAAGUAUUACAUUUAAUAAAAAUGAUGAUAGUCAACAAAAUGAACACACCAAAUCACUAAUUAAUAUAGAAAAUCAAAAUUUUAAUGAUGAACUUGAUAUCAUAAGCAACAAUUUACCACCCACAUCAGAAAAUCAAAAUUUUAAUGAUGAACUUGAUACCAUAAGCAACAAUUUACCACCAAC
Gordionus sp. m RMFG-2023 is the source of this 408-nucleotide long non-coding RNA. RefSeq lists it as uncharacterized. The record is from RefSeq and is a predicted model, not a curated record. NCBI's taxonomy places the organism in Eukaryota, Metazoa, Nematomorpha, Gordioida, Chordodea, Parachordodidae. The transcript is spliced from 5 exons.